This 253-nucleotide ribosomal RNA is filed under the name uncultured bacterium. Its description in RNAcentral is "partial 16S ribosomal RNA". It matches the Rfam family "Bacterial small subunit ribosomal RNA", at positions 524 to 776 of the family's 1533-position model. The record is from RNAcentral.
UACGAAGGGGGCUAGCGUUGCUCGGAAUUACUGGGCGUAAAGGGUGUGUAGGCGGUUGCUUAAGUUUGGUGUGAAAUCUCCCGGCUCAACUGGGAGGGUGCGCCGAAUACUGAGUGACUCGAGUGCGGGAGAGGAAAGUGGAAUUCCUGGUGUAGCGGUGAAAUGCGUAGAUAUCAGGAGGAACACCGGUGGUGUAGACGGCUUUCUGGACCGUAACUGACGCUGAAACACGAAAGCGUGGGUAGCAAACAGG